Long non-coding RNA from Astatotilapia calliptera (eastern happy), 1092 nucleotides. NCBI's taxonomy places the organism in Eukaryota, Metazoa, Chordata, Actinopteri, Cichliformes, Cichlidae. The record is from Ensembl.
AUUUUUGUCAUGCGAUUUUAAAGCUGGUCCUACAAGCGCAUCCAAGAAUAACAUGCAGCUUAUCUCAGAACUGUCCGUGAAAAUUAUUCUUGGAGCUAAGUUUAAUUGAGCUGCAUUUUAAAGAGGUGCAAUUUCACAAUUUGUGUAUAUUUUCUAAGUUCACUAUUUUGUCAUGUGUUGAGAAAAACAGAUUUAAAAAUUACAUGGUCUAAUAUUUACAUUUAGCAUAUAACUGCAACAUGCUUUUUUUUCGUUUUUUUGAAUGACUCGAAAGGACUUGAAAUUCAAAGUUUCAGACUUGUGACUUGACUCGGACUUUUACACCAGUGACUUGAGACUCGACUCUGACUUGCCUGACAUUACUUGAGACUUGACUUGAGACUUGAGGAUAAAGACUUGAGACUUACUUGAGACUUUCAAAACAAUGACUUGGUCCCACCUCUGGUAUGCACACGGGUGUUCACUGCUCGUAGACCCAAAUUACACCUUUCUUGGCUGCUACUUCGAAGCACAUCUGUCCUGCGUGCUGCACAACAACAUUGAAUAUUUAGUAUUUACUGCUGUUUACACUUAGCUAGAUUAAUGCGAUGGUGUUGUGUUUAGUAUGUUGCUUUGUUUAUUUUUUCUGCUUGUUUUCUAUUCUUCUCUCAACAGGUGAUCCAGGAGAUUUUUAUUUUUUUUCUCCCCCCCUUUCUCACUGUCCCUCUCCCCUUCUGUUUUUCCUUUCCUUCCUCUUUCUUUCUCCCUUUCCUAUCCCUCACUCAUGUCUGUCCCGUCUGUAACAUCUGAAAAUAAAAUAUAAUAAAUAAUAAAAACAAAGAUCGACCAAAUGGACCAAUACGGCAAUGCCACGAUGAUCCAUUUGGCAAAGUAAAUCCAUUGGGUAUCCUUGUUGGUCUUCAGACAACAAUUCUGAUGGCUAAAGAACCAAAUGGGACAGGCGAAAAAAAAAAAGAAAAAAAAAUAGAUAUAGGAGAUUUGUGACGUUUAGUGUGGCGUGUAUAGUUAGUGUGUUGUAUUGUCUUGUGUAGUUGUUCUGUUGUGUAGUCGUUGUUUUGUUUUGUGUGUCAGUGAGAGCACUAAUGAAUGUCA